Molecule: non-coding RNA, 113 nt
Filed under: bovine gut metagenome
Description: FMN riboswitch (RFN element)
Rfam family: FMN riboswitch aptamer (RFN element)
About the family: The RFN element is a highly conserved domain that is found frequently in the 5'-untranslated regions of prokaryotic mRNAs that encode for flavin mononucleotide (FMN) biosynthesis and transport proteins. This element is a metabolite-dependent riboswitch that directly binds FMN in the absence of proteins.
Source: RNAcentral
AAUCUUCAGGGCGGGGUGAAAGUCCCCACUGGCGGUAAAGUCCGCGACCCGAAUUUUUCGGCUGAACCGGUGCAACUCCGGUACCAACAGUUAAAGUCUGGAUGGAAGAAGAG